GACGAACGCUGGCGGCGUGCUUAACACAUGCAAGUCGAACGGAAAGGCCCUGCUUUUGUGGGGUGCUCGAGUGGCGAACGGGUGAGUAACACGUGAGUAACCUGCCCUUGACUUUGGGAUAACUUCAGGAAACUGGGGCUAAUACCGGAUCGGAGCUCCUGCUGCAUGGUGGGGGUUGGAAAGUUUCGGCGGUUGGGGAUGGACUCGCGGCUUAUCAGUUUGUUGGUGGGGUAGUGGCUUACCAAGGCUUUGGCGGGUAGCCGGCCUGAGAGGGUGACCGGCGACAUUGGGACUGAGAGACGGCCCAGACUCCUACGGGAGGCAGCAGUGGGGAAUAUUGCACAAUGGGCGGAAGCCUGAUGCAGCAACGCCGCGUGCGGGAUGACGGCCUUCGGGUUGUAAACCGCUUUCGCCUGUGACGAAGCGUGAGUGACGGUAAUGGGUAAAGAAGCACCGGCUAACUACGUG
This 468-nucleotide ribosomal RNA is filed under the name uncultured bacterium. RNAcentral's name for it is "partial 16S ribosomal RNA". It matches the Rfam family "Bacterial small subunit ribosomal RNA", at positions 28 to 507 of the family's 1533-position model. The record is from RNAcentral.